This 379-nucleotide unclassified non-coding RNA is filed under the name soil metagenome. RNAcentral's name for it is "partial contains 5.8S ribosomal RNA, internal transcribed spacer 2, and large subunit ribosomal RNA". The stretch from base 1 to 120 matches the Rfam family "5.8S ribosomal RNA", at positions 35 to 154 of the family's 154-position model. The record is from RNAcentral.
GAUGAAGAACGUAGCGAAAUGCGAUAAGUAAUGUGAAUUGCAGAAUUCAGUGAAUCAUCGAAUCUUUGAACGCACAUUGCGCCCGCCAGUAUUCUGGCGGGCAUGCCUGUUCGAGCGUCAUUUCAACCCUCAAGCCCCAGCGGCCUGGUGUUGGGGACCGGCGACCUCGCCCGAGCCCGCCCUCCGGGGCGCGUGCCCGGUGCGUCCGCCGCCCCCGAAAUGAAUUGGCGGCCUCGUCGCGGCCUCCUCUGCGUAGUAGCACAACCUCGCAAGCGGGAGCGCGACGCGGCCACUGCCGUAAAACGCCCAACUUUUUUAGAGUUGACCUCGGAUCAGGUAGGAAUACCCGCUGAACUUAAGCAUAUCAAAAAGCGGAGGA